CCAGUGCAAGGAACUGGCUCUACCAGGAGACUGUCACCCACUCUCCUUCUAGUCCAAAAUGAAAACACUUGGAAUUAAUCUCACUCUGGGACUCCAAGAAACCACUAGAUAGAACAUUUUUCAAAAAAAAAAUUGCUGAUAUCUUUACUGAAAAAUACUUUUGAAGCGAAGAACCUGCCACAUAGGCAGACUUCCCACACCUCCUGGUGUGAGGCCUGGGCAGGUCAGCCACAUUCUGGAAGGUCAUUCUCACUCUCUGCAUUCAGAGAGUCACAUGCUUUUUGAGCACUCAUUACAGACAGCUUGAUUAAAAUUGUAUAUUGCCUCUUGAAAAAAAAUUUUAUGGGUCUGGAGUUUCAGAGAAAGAAGGUAAAGACAGAUUGGUUCUCUUAAAUACCACGAGAAGCAUCUUUGAGUGAAUACAAAAACACUUGCUUCCAAAACCAAUGUCUUCAUGGUCCACCCUCAUCCUCAGAGAGCAUGAGGAGACCAGCUGACUGCCCAGGAGGCAGGGGCCUUUCAAACCUUAGGCAUGUUCUCUCUGCCCCAAAGUUGCUCUCAAAUGUGAAACAGUGGCAUCAAAACCAGAAGAACUCUCUGAAAUCCUUCUGAAGAGGAAAAGAAGAAUUUGCUUGGAGAUUGCUUCUUUGUUAUUGUUAUUUUUAGAAUUUUAAAUUAAAGAC
RNAcentral lists this long non-coding RNA (683 nucleotides) under Marmota monax (woodchuck). The record is from RNAcentral. Lineage: Eukaryota; Metazoa; Chordata; Mammalia; Rodentia; Sciuridae.